UACGUAGGUCCCGAGCGUUGUCCGGAUUUAUUGGGCGUAAAGCGAGCGCAGGUGGUUUAUUAAGUCUGGUGUAAAAGGCAGUGGCUCAACCAUUGUAUGUAUUGGAAACUGGUAGACUUGAGUGCAGGAGAGGAGAGUGGAAUUCUAUGUGUAGCGGUGAAAUGCGUAGAUAUAUGGAGGAACACCGGUGGCGAAAGCGGCUCUCUGGCCUGUAACUGACACUGAGGCUCGAAAGCGUGGGGAGCAAACAGG
RNAcentral lists this ribosomal RNA (252 nucleotides) under uncultured bacterium. RNAcentral's name for it is "partial 16S ribosomal RNA". It matches the Rfam family "Bacterial small subunit ribosomal RNA", at positions 524 to 776 of the family's 1533-position model. The record is from RNAcentral.